GAAACUCAAAUGAAUUGACGGGGCUCGCACAAGCGGUGGAGCAUGUGGUUUAAUUCGAAGCAACGCGAAGAACCUUACCAGGUCUUGACAUCCCUGACAACCCGAGAGAUCGGGCGUUCCCCUUCGGGGGACAGGGUGACAGGUGGUGCAUGGUUGUCGUCAGCUCGUGUCGUGAGAUGUUGGGUUAAGUCCCGCAACGAGCGCAACCCUCGACCUUAGUUGCCAGCAUUCAGUUGGGCACUCUAAGGUGACUGCCGGCUAAAAGUCGGAGGAAGGUGGGGAUGACGUCAAAUCAUCAUGCCCCUUAUGACCUGGGCUACACACGUGCUACAAUGGGCGGUACAAAGGGUCGCGAACCCGCGAGGGGGAGCCAAUCCCAAAAAGCCGCUCUCAGUUCGGAUUGCAGGCUGCAACUCGCCUGCAUGAAGCCGGAAUCGCUAGUAAUCGCGGAUCAGCACGCCGCGGUGAAUACGUUCCCGGGCCUU
Molecule: ribosomal RNA, 485 nt
Filed under: uncultured Anoxybacillus sp.
Lineage: Bacteria; Bacillati; Bacillota; Bacilli; Caryophanales; Anoxybacillaceae
Description: bacterial SSU rRNA
Rfam family: Bacterial small subunit ribosomal RNA
Source: RNAcentral